GAUGAACGCUGGCGGCGUGCCUAAUACAUGCCAGUCGAGCGAACAGACGAGGAUCUUGCUCCUCUGACGUUAGCGGCGGACGGGUGAGUAACACGUGGAUAACCUACCUAUAAGACUGGGAUAACUUCGGGAAACCGGAGCUAAUACCGGAUAAUAUAUUGAACCUCAUGGUUCAAUAGUGAAAGACGGUUUUGCUGUCACUUAUAGAUGGAUCCGCGCCGCAUUAGCUAGUUGGUAAGGUAACGGCUUACCAAGGCAACGAUGCGUAGCCGACCUGAGAGGGUGAUCGGCCACACUGGAACUGAGACACGGUCCAGACUCCUACGGGAGGCAGCAGUAGGGAAUCUUCCGCAAUGGGCGAAAGCCUGACGGAGCAACGCCGCGUGAGUGAUGAAGGUCUUCGGAUCGUAAAACUCUGUUAUUAGGGAAGAACAAAUGUGUAAGUAAAUAUGCACGUCUUGACGGUACCUAAUCAGAAAGCAACGGCUAACUACGUG
RNAcentral lists this ribosomal RNA (497 nucleotides) under uncultured bacterium. Its description in RNAcentral is "partial 16S ribosomal RNA". It matches the Rfam family "Bacterial small subunit ribosomal RNA", at positions 28 to 507 of the family's 1533-position model. The record is from RNAcentral.